GGAAUUGUGGCUCAGUGGUAGAGCACAUGCCUAGCAUGCAUGAGGCACUGGGUUCGAUCCUGGCACUA
RNAcentral lists this transfer RNA (68 nucleotides) under Ictidomys tridecemlineatus (thirteen-lined ground squirrel). RNAcentral's name for it is "Spermophilus tridecemlineatus (thirteen-lined ground squirrel) tRNA". It matches the Rfam family "tRNA". From Rfam's summary of the family: Transfer RNA (tRNA) molecules are approximately 80 nucleotides in length. Their secondary structure includes four short double-helical elements and three loops (D, anti-codon, and T loops). Further hydrogen bonds mediate the characteristic L-shaped molecular structure. tRNAs have two regions of fundamental functional importance: the anti-codon, which is responsible for specific mRNA codon recognition, and the 3' end, to which the tRNAs corresponding amino acid is attached (by aminoacyl-tRNA synthetases). tRNAs cope with the degeneracy of the genetic code in two manners: having more than one tRNA (with a specific anti-codon) for a particular amino acid; and 'wobble' base-pairing, i.e. permitting non-standard base-pairing at the 3rd anti-codon position. Lineage: Eukaryota; Metazoa; Chordata; Mammalia; Rodentia; Sciuridae. The record is from Rfam by way of RNAcentral.